Molecule: ribosomal RNA, 484 nt
Filed under: uncultured bacterium
Lineage: Bacteria
Description: partial 16S ribosomal RNA
Rfam family: Bacterial small subunit ribosomal RNA
Source: RNAcentral
AUUGAACGCUGGCGGCAGGCCUAACACAUGCAAGUCGAGCGGCUGAACGGAGCUUGCUCCUUGUUUCAGCGGGGGACGGGUGAGCAAUGCCUAGGAACCUGCCUGUGUGUGUGGGAUAACGUCCUGAAAUGGGCGCUAUUACCCUAUACGUCCUGAGGCAGUAAGUGGGAGAUCUGCGGACCUCACGCUAUUAGAUGAGCCUAGGUCGGAUUAGCUAGUUGGUGGGGUAAAGGCCUACCAAGGCGACGAUCCGUAACUGGUCUGAGAGGAUGAUCAGUCACACUGGAACUGAGACACGGUCCAGACUCCUACGGGAGGCAGCAGUGGGGAAUAUUGGACAAUGGGCGAAAGCCUGAUCCAGCCAUGCCGCGUGUGUGAAGAAGGUCUUCGGAUUGUAAAGCACUUUAUGUUGGGAGGAAAGGCAGUAAGUUAAUACCUUGCUGUUUUGACGUUACCAACAGAAUAAGCACCGGCUAACUUCGUG